RNAcentral lists this transfer-messenger RNA (83 nucleotides) under Caudoviricetes sp. Its description in RNAcentral is "tRNA-OTHER". It matches the Rfam family "transfer-messenger RNA". Rfam says of the family: Bacterial tmRNA, also known as 10Sa RNA or SsrA, is named for its dual tRNA and mRNA-like properties. Lineage: Duplodnaviria; Heunggongvirae; Uroviricota; Caudoviricetes. The record is from RNAcentral.
GGGGCAUUGAAUGGUUUCGACGCGUUGCAAAACCGCAUGACGGAACAGCGCGGACACGAGUUCGACUCUCGUAUGCUCCACCA